GUGAUUGAGGAUUGAUAUAUCAUAACAAACAAAAAACUUCAAUAUCAAAAACUCAUGCUGUAUUCCACUCCCAAACACACACACAAAGAAAAAACAGAUUUUUAUCAAAUAUCAAAACCCCAUUUUUAUUCACACAGCAGUGUCUGUUUUAAAAAAAAAACAUUCCCCCAAUUUCAUCCAUCAAAACCCUAACUCAAAAAUUUCCAAAAUUGAUAUUAAAGACUAAGAAAUUUACCUGAAAGUUCAAGAGAUUUGACAGAGAAACUGGGAAAAUUUAGCGCAAAUCUCAGGUACAAACAUAACUCACAGGCCAACAAAUGUCAACCAAAAAGCAUGGAUUAAAAGCUAGAAACUAAGGAGCAAAGUUGAUACAGAGCAAUAAUCGAGCAAAAUAACUUUGAAUUAAACUCAAAUCUGAACUUCAGAAAGGAAUUUUUACCUGAUUUCGAAUUGGUCUUGUUAUGGAUCGUUUCUCUGAUGCCUUUUCUUGUGUGCGCUUUGCUAAGG
This 507-nucleotide long non-coding RNA is filed under the name Nicotiana tabacum (common tobacco). RNAcentral's name for it is "long non-coding RNA (NTAB_LNC010610)". The record is from RNAcentral. Lineage: Eukaryota; Viridiplantae; Streptophyta; Magnoliopsida; Solanales; Solanaceae.